This 64-nucleotide transfer RNA is filed under the name Euterpnosia chibensis. RNAcentral's name for it is "tRNA-Arg". Lineage: Eukaryota; Metazoa; Arthropoda; Insecta; Hemiptera; Cicadidae. The record is from RNAcentral.
AAGUAUAGAAGUAAUAAAUUACAUUUAGUUUCGACCUAAAAAUAAGAAUUAUAUUCCUUGCUUA